This 68-nucleotide transfer RNA is filed under the name Oreophryne sp. TNHC-GDC 18615. RNAcentral describes it as "tRNA-Glu". It matches the Rfam family "tRNA". From Rfam's summary of the family: Transfer RNA (tRNA) molecules are approximately 80 nucleotides in length. Their secondary structure includes four short double-helical elements and three loops (D, anti-codon, and T loops). The record is from RNAcentral. Lineage: Eukaryota; Metazoa; Chordata; Amphibia; Anura; Microhylidae.
GUUUUUAUAGUUGAACACAACAGUAGUUUUUCAGGCUGCAGGUCUGGGUUGAAGUCCCAGUAAGAACA